UUGAAUAAACUUGGUUGGGUUGUUGCUGGUUCUUAGGAACAUGUGCACGCCUGAUGCCAUUUUUAACCACCUGUGCACUUUUUGUAGACUUGGAUACCUCUUGAGAGAAAUCUCAGAUUGAGAAUUGCUGUGUGAAAGCCAGCCUUUCUUACAUUUCCAAGUCUAUGUUUUCAUAUACUCCAUAAGAAUGUAAUAGAAUGUUUGUCAAUUGGCCUUUGUGCCUCUAAAACAAAUACAACUUUCAACAACGGAUCUCUUGGCUCUCGCAUCGAUGAAGAACGCAGCGAAAUGCGAUAAGUAAUGUGAAUUGCAGAAUUCAGUGAAUCAUCGAAUCUUUGAACGCACCUUGCGCUCCUUGGUAUUCCGAGGAGCAUGCCUGUUUGAGUGUCAUGAAAUUCUCAACCUUUCUGGCUUUUUGUAAGCUAGUUAGGCUUGGAUUAUGGGAGUUGCUGGUUUUUCUGAAAUCAGCUCUUCUUAAAUGCAUUAGCAAAACUUUUGCUGAACAUCCUUGGUGUGAUAAUUAUCUAUGCCACUGAUGCCAGCUCUUUAAAAACUUUGCUUCAAAUAGUCCUUUCAAGGACAACUUUUGACAAU
Molecule: unclassified non-coding RNA, 594 nt
Filed under: Entoloma pseudoconferendum
Lineage: Eukaryota; Fungi; Basidiomycota; Agaricomycetes; Agaricales; Entolomataceae
Description: sequence contains ITS1, 5.8S rRNA gene, ITS2
Rfam family: 5.8S ribosomal RNA (bases 237-390)
Source: RNAcentral